GCGAUAAGUAAUGGGAAUUGCAGAAUCCAGUGAAUCAUCGAAUCUUUGAACGCACAUUGCGCCCGUCAGUAUUCUGGCGGGCAUGCCUGUUCGAGCGUCAUUACGCCC
This 108-nucleotide ribosomal RNA is filed under the name Metarhizium anisopliae. RNAcentral describes it as "5.8S ribosomal RNA". It matches the Rfam family "5.8S ribosomal RNA", at positions 55 to 154 of the family's 154-position model. Rfam says of the family: 5.8S ribosomal RNA (5.8S rRNA) is a component of the large subunit of the eukaryotic ribosome. It is transcribed by RNA polymerase I as part of the 45S precursor that also contains 18S and 28S rRNA. Functionally, it is thought that 5.8S rRNA may be involved in ribosome translocation. The record is from RNAcentral. Lineage: Eukaryota; Fungi; Ascomycota; Sordariomycetes; Hypocreales; Clavicipitaceae.